CAUUACUGGACUCGCAAGACUCCUAUACCCUGUGAAUCUUACCUGAAAACGCGUUGCUUCGGCGGGUGCCCCGGGUCUCCCGAGGCGCUGUGCCCGCCGGCAGCACACCACUCUGUUUCUUGCGUUGGCAUCUAUGAGUGAUACAAAAUAAGUUAAAACUUUCAACAACGGAUCUGUUGGUUCUGGCAUCGAUGAAGAACGCAGAGAAAUGCGAUAAGUAAUGCGAAUUGCAGAAUUCAGUGAGUCAUCAGAAUCUUUGAACGCACAUUGCGCCCGCCAGUAUCCUGGCGGGCAUGCCUAUUCGAGCGUCAUUGCAACCCCUCAGGCCCUGCCUGGUGUUGGAGGACUGCGCAGCAGCCUCCUAAAGCAAGUGGCGGCGGCGCCUUGGAACCGAACGCAGUACUGUAUCUCGUUCAGGACCCCGGGUGUCGACCUGCCGGAAAACCCCCAACU
RNAcentral lists this unclassified non-coding RNA (453 nucleotides) under uncultured fungus. Its description in RNAcentral is "sequence contains ITS1, 5.8S rRNA gene and ITS2". The stretch from base 157 to 311 matches the Rfam family "5.8S ribosomal RNA". Lineage: Eukaryota; Fungi. The record is from RNAcentral.